This 428-nucleotide ribosomal RNA is filed under the name uncultured bacterium. RNAcentral describes it as "bacterial SSU rRNA". It matches the Rfam family "Bacterial small subunit ribosomal RNA", at positions 355 to 775 of the family's 1533-position model. The record is from RNAcentral.
UAGGGAAUCUUCCACAAUGGACGAAAGUCUGAUGGAGCAACGCCGCGUGUGUGAUGAAGGGUUUCGGCUCGUAAAACACUGUUGUAAGAGAAGAAUAGCAUUGAGAGUAACUGCUCAGUGUCUGACGGUAUCUUACCAGAAAGGAACGGCUAAAUACGUGCCAGCAGCCGCGGUAAUACGUAUGUUCCAAGCGUUAUCCGGAUUUAUUGGGCGUAAAGCGAGCGCAGACGGUUAUUUAAGUCCGAAGUGAAAGCCCACAGCUUAACUGUGGAAGUGCUUUGGAAACUGGAUAACUUGAGUGCAGUAGAGGAGAGUGGAAUUCCAUGUGUAGCGGUGAAAUGCGUAGAUAUAUGGAGGAACACCAGUGGCGAAGGCGGCUCUCUGGACUGUAACUGACGUUGAGGCUCGAAAGUGUGGGUAGCAAACAG